CAUGAAAUGAGCAUACACGCUCCAAAACAUAUAUUGUUAUAUGUUUAAAAUUAACAUAAUAUAGUGAUAAGUUCCUUUAAAACACGCUUUUCUAAUCUGAAAAUUACAUAAGCAGUGAUAUAUUAAAUACAACUUAAAAUCACAUAACAAUCCACCUUUAAUUACCACAAUAAACAGGCAUUGCACAAUAAGAGGUGCCAGAGGUUCAUGUAUAAUGGGAACUGUAGGGUCAAGCACAACCCAAUGAAAUCAAUAACUACUCAGUCCAGUCCACUGCUCCAAUGAAAGAGUUUUAUCCAGCUGCAGGGAGAGGUUCAUCUUGCAUGAGCAGUUGCCAAACUAGUUUUAACAUUUACAUGAAUUUGAGCAUGCAUACUGAGGACAAUAAACCUCCUUUACUGCAUGUUUCCCCUUUCGUAAUACUUCAUCUUCUUUUGCUGCUUUAUCAUUCUUUUGAAACAUUUUUAUCCUACUACUCUUCUCUAUUAAACUUGUACUCCUACUACUCUUCUCUAUUAAAAUUAUAAGAACUUGUACUCUCAGUAUCUCCUUGUACUCUCAGUAUCUCCAGCCAGAUGUGUGACAAGCCCAAGAACAUAAAUCCAGAGUGGUGAAAUUCCAGUUUUCACUUGCUUGGUAUGCCUCCAGGUAGAAUACCUCACUAUCAAGCAUCAACACCAUCAGAAGCUUUUGCUGCAAAAGGAUCAUGAGUGGGACCAACGUCCUGCCCAAUAUGGCGCUGCACCAGCCUCUGUAAAUCAGCCAUAACCUUGUGCUCACGUUUUGCCUUCUCUUCAUAGUUAAACAUAGCCAAAGCUCGCUUGUCCUCAGCACUGUAGACCUGGUUUUCUUUCCUAAUACGAAUGGCAUUCAUCCUCUGGUGCCUGCUACCACUCAUCACAUACCCGAGGCUCUCAAAUUUUUGAAUUUCUUCAGCAGAAAGACCCACUUCACCUCUACGUGGAAUACGCUUUCCUUGCUGCACAUACUGUGCAAUGGCAUCGCCUUCACCUGGCCUCAAUGCACCACCAUAAUUUAUAUGCCCCUCAGCUCUGGGUAGGGGCAUUGGCCCAACCGUAGGUUCAUUAUCCAGAGCAGGCUUCUUCUGUGCCUCGAUCAUCUCUUUUAAUAUAAGAGCAUCAGCAUUAAUUUCAGUCUUCAUCUCAUCUGGCUUUGAUUUUCCCUUUGCAUCUAUAUCAGCACCUGAACUCUUAUCUGAGUAUGAACUGGCACUCUCUGUUUCAGACCUCUUUUUCCUGCUGCGUUUAGACCCUGAAAUGCGCCUUCUCUUCUUAGACUCGUAUUCGGAUUCUUCACUCCCACUAUCAUCAGAAUCACUGUACCUACUUUUCCUCCGACUUUUUCUUUUUCUGCUACUUCUCUUGCUGCUCUUCCUUCUACUGCUGCUGCUGCUGCUGCUUUUCCGUGACUUCUUUCUGCGUCUUCGAUCCUCUUCAGAAGCUGAUUCAGUUUCAUUCCCACUCUCACUCGCAUCCUCAUCUGAUUCGCUAUCCAUAGAUGAUUUCCUGCCCCUGCGCUUAGAACUCGAUCUCCUCUUCUUCCUUGAUUCAGAAUCAUUUGAUUCAGAUUCAGACUCAGACUCAGACUCGGAUUCUGAAUCGUUGCUCACAGAUUUCCCAGACUCAGAUUCUGAUACACCCUUUCCAUCACGCGCUUUUCCUUUCUCUUUCUCGCUAAAGUCAAUCUUCUCUUCGUCUUCCCCAUACUUCUCCGAAAUCUCAUCUGGUUUGCCUUCCAAAUCUUCUUCUUCGUUCUCAUCCCUGAGUGGACUAGGGGUAAGCGUCCAAAUACAAUAUUUCGCGAUGUUCUUCCUCAUCUUCUGCCUCUUCAGCCUCCUCCGCUCUUCAAAGCUCAAACCCUUCAACUCCUCAUCGGAUUCUGAUUCGGAGUUCCUUCCAUUACGAGAGCCGCCGCGAUCGAGGUAUGCCCGCCCGCUGCCGAACUUUUUUGGCAGAGAAUCUAGGUUUUUCCUGGGCCUAGGGCUUGGGCUUCUUCUUCCAGGGCUUGAAUACUCAGGUGAGCUUGAGCGGUAGCGGCCGCGACCGGUUCCUCGGUGAAGCUCAUCGUAGCUAUGGUAGGAGGGACUUCGGCGGUCCCGCUGGCGGUAGUAGUCAGCGGAGGUGUCGGAUUCAGGUGUAUAACGCUCGCUUUGGCGUUCUGGACGAUACCGGCGAUCAGGAAUUUCAAUCGUCGACGUUGGUCUGCUCAUCAUUGGGGAUUAGGGUAAGUGCGCAAGCAGCGUCUCGGCUCUAAAAC
This 2277-nucleotide unclassified non-coding RNA is filed under the name Hevea brasiliensis (rubber tree). The record is from RNAcentral. Lineage: Eukaryota; Viridiplantae; Streptophyta; Magnoliopsida; Malpighiales; Euphorbiaceae.